UACGGAGGGAGCUAGCGUUGUUCGGGAUUACUGGGCGUAAAGCGCGCGUAGGCGGCUUUGUAAGUUAGAGGUGAAAGCCCGGGGCUCAACCCCGGAACUGCCUUUAAAACUGCAUCGCUUGAAUCCGGGAGAGGUGAGUGGAAUUCCGAGUGUAGAGGUGAAAUUCGUAGAUAUUCGGAAGAACACCAGUGGCGAAGGCGGCUCACUGGACCGGCAUUGACGCUGAGGUGCGAAAGCGUGGGGAGCAAACAGG
This 253-nucleotide ribosomal RNA is filed under the name uncultured bacterium. Its description in RNAcentral is "partial 16S ribosomal RNA". It matches the Rfam family "Bacterial small subunit ribosomal RNA", at positions 524 to 776 of the family's 1533-position model. The record is from RNAcentral.